CCUACGGGUGGCAGCAGUGAGGAAUAUUGGUCAAUGGACGAGAGUCUGAACCAGCCAAGUAGCGUGAAGGAUGACUGCCCUAUGGGUUGUAAACUUCUUUUAUAAAGGAAUAAAACGAGGCACGUGUGCCUUUUUGCAUGUACUUUAUGAAUAAGGAUCGGCUAACUCCGUGCCAGCAGCCGCGGUAAUACGGAGGAUCCGAGCGUUAUCCGGAUUUAUUGGGUUUAAAGGGAGCGUAGAUGGGUUGUUAAGUCAGUUGUGAAAGUUUGCGGCUCAACCGUAAAAUUGCAAUUGAUACUGGCAGUCGUGAGUACAGUUGAGGUAGGCGGAAUUCGUGGUGUAGCGGUGAAAUGCUUAGAUAUCACGAAGAACCCCGAUUGCGAAGGCAGCUUACUAAACUGUGACUGACAUUGAGGCUCGAAAGUGUGGGUAUCAAACAGGAUUAGAUACCCUGGUAGUC
Molecule: ribosomal RNA, 460 nt
Filed under: uncultured bacterium
Lineage: Bacteria
Description: partial 16S ribosomal RNA
Rfam family: Bacterial small subunit ribosomal RNA
Source: RNAcentral